GACGAACGCUGGCGGCGCGCCUAACACAUGCAAGUCGAACGAGCGAGAGAGAGCUUGCUUUCUCGAGCGAGUGGCGAACGGGUGAGUAACGCGUGAGGAACCUGCCUCAAAGAGGGGGACAACAGUUGGAAACGACUGCUAAUACCGCAUAAGCUCACGGCUCGGCAUCGAGCAGGGGGAAAAGGAGCAAUCCGCUUUAACAUGGCCUGGCGUCCGAUUAGCUAGUUGGUGGGGUUACGGCCCCCGAAGGCGACGAUCGGUAGCCGGACUGUGAGGUUGAACGGCCACAUUGGGGCUGAGACACGGCCCAGACUCCUACGGGAGGCAGCAGUGGGGAAUAUUGCACAAUGGGGGGAACGCUGAUGGAGCUACGCCGCGUGGAGGAAGAAGGUCUUCGGAUUGUAAACUCCUGUUGUUGGUGAAGAUAAUGACGGUACCCAACAAGGAAGUGACGGCUAACUACGUG
RNAcentral lists this ribosomal RNA (466 nucleotides) under uncultured bacterium. RNAcentral's name for it is "partial 16S ribosomal RNA". It matches the Rfam family "Bacterial small subunit ribosomal RNA", at positions 28 to 507 of the family's 1533-position model. The record is from RNAcentral.